GGAGCGCUCGGAGAUCGAGCGUACCGGAUUAUUGGGUUUAAGGGAGCGUAGGCGGGCUUUUAAGUCAGCGGUCAAAUGCCACGGCUCAACCGUGGCCAGCCGUUGAAACUGCAAGCCUUGAGUCUGCACAGGGCACAUGGAAUUCGUGGUGUAGCGGUGAAAUGCUUAGAUAUCACGAAGAACUCCGAUCGCGAAGGCAUUGUGCCGGGGCAGCACUGACGCUGAGGCUCGAAAGUGCGGGUAUCAAACAGGAUUAGAUACCCUGGUAGUCCGCACGGUAAACGAUGAAUGCUCGCUAUGGGCGAUACAAUGUCCGUGGCCAAGCGAAAGCGUUAAGCAUUCCACCUGGGGAGUACGCCGGCAACGGUGAAACUCAAAGGAAUUGACGGGGGCCCGCACAAGCGGAGGAACAUGUGGUUUAAUUCGAUGAUACGCGAGGAACCUUACCCGGGCUUGAAUUGCAGGUGCAUGAGUCGGAGACGGCUCUUUCCUUCGGGACUCCUGUGAAGGUGCUGCAUGGUUGUCGUCAGCUCGUGCCGUGAGGUGUCGGCUUAAGUGCCAUAACGAGCGCAACCCUUCUCCCCAGUUGCCAUCGGGUAAUGCCGGGCCCUCUGGGGACACUGCCAUCGUAAGAUGCGAGGAAGGUGGGGAUGACGUCAAAUCAGCACGGCCCUUACGUCCGGGGCUACACACGUGUUACAAUGGGGGGUACAGAGGGCCGCUGUCCGGUGACGGUCGGCCAAUCCCUAAAACUCCUCUCAGUUCGGACUGGAGUCUGCAACCCGACUCCACGAAGCUGGAUUCGCUAGUAAUCGCGCAUCAGCCAUGGCGCGGUGAAUACGUUCCCGGGCCUUGUACACACCGCCCGUCAAGCCAUGAAAGCCGGGGGUGCCUGAAGUCCGUGACCGCGAGGGUCGGCCUAGGGUAAAACUGGUGAUUGGGGCUAAGUCGUAACAAGGUAGCCGUAAGGGCGAAUUCGUUUCUCCAAGG
Molecule: ribosomal RNA, 990 nt
Filed under: uncultured bacterium
Lineage: Bacteria
Description: bacterial SSU rRNA
Rfam family: Bacterial small subunit ribosomal RNA
Source: RNAcentral